Molecule: ribosomal RNA, 490 nt
Filed under: uncultured bacterium
Lineage: Bacteria
Description: partial 16S ribosomal RNA
Rfam family: Bacterial small subunit ribosomal RNA
Source: RNAcentral
AUUGAACGCUGGCGGCAGGCCUAACACAUGCAAGUCGAACGGUAACAGGAAGAAGCUUGCUUCUUUGCUGACGAGUGGCGGACGGGUGAGUAAUGUCUGGGAAACUGCCUGAUGGAGGGGGAUAACUACUGGAAACGGUAGCUAAUACCGCAUAACGUCGCAAGACCAAAGAGGGGGACCUUCGGGCCUCUUGCCAUCGGAUGUGCCCAGAUGGGAUUAGCUAGUAGGUGGGGUAACGGCUCACCUAGGCGACGAUCCCUAGCUGGACUGAGAGGAUGACCAGCCACACUGGAACUGAGACACGGUCCAGACUCCUACGGGAGGCAGCAGUGGGGAAUAUUGCACAAUGGGCGCAAGCCUGAUGCAGCCAUGCCGCGUGUAUGAAGAAGGCCUUCGGGUUGUAAAGUACUUUCAGCGGGGAGGAAGGGAGUAAAGUUAAUACCUUUGCUCAUUGACGUUACCCGCAGAAGAAGCACCGGCUAACUCCGUG